Molecule: RNA transcript, 4730 nt
Organism: Microplitis mediator
Lineage: Eukaryota; Metazoa; Arthropoda; Insecta; Hymenoptera; Braconidae
Gene name: putative gustatory receptor 28b
Exons: 7
Source: RefSeq, a predicted model, not a curated record
AAAAAUAAUCACGCAAUCAAGUGAAAUCUAGAUAAAAUAAUAUCCUGGUACUCAUUAGUCAUAAUUGUGAUACUAUAGAGACAACACGUCAGAUAGUAAUUGAACAAUGGGUUACACAAAUUUUCAAAAAUUUAAUUUAAAUAAAAAUGAUUACAUGUGCUAUCGACUUUUUUUGUUCAUUCAAUGCAGUUUUUUUAAAUUACUUGGACUAUCGCCCUGGACGACAGAUACUUCAGGAAUUUUCCGAAGUAAAAAUAAAAAUAAUAUAUGUAGAGUUUCUUACGCCGGAAUUUGUUACAACAUUGUAUUUUUUUUAUUAAACAUUUCAUUUGCGCCUUACGGAUUAUUUUAUGAACUAUCAAAUAAAACUUAUCAAGGCUCGAAUUCAACUAUAAUGCUAGUGAAAAUGCUGUUCAUAGCGUUACUGUCUACAAUUUUGAUUCCCUUUAUAUAUAUCAUCAGGCAGAAGAUCAUGAUAAAGGUCAUCAAUAAAUUAAAAAACGUGGACGAAAUUUUGGACAAGUGUUCAGAUUAUAAAUUGAAAAAUGACUGUGUCAACAAUAUAUUAUUUACUGUUAACUUAUUUAUGGUCAUUAACUUCAUAAUAGUGUGGGACCUGAUAUACUAUCCCGCGAUAACGAUAUCUUUCGGCAAUAUUCCUACUGUAUUGAGUAGUGGGGUGAUGAUACAAUACGCGAUGCAACUCAAUAGGAUCGACAAAAGAUUUGAGAGCAUUAACUUGGCUAUUUACAAACUGGGCUACUCGAAAUUAGGCGGCGCUCAAGUUCAAAUAUCAUCUGUAGCACAGUUAGUACUUUCACGUGAAUCUGUUCUUUACGAUAUUGAGAAUAUUAAAUCUGCUUAUGUUAAAUUGUGUAAAAUAUGUGAAGAUAUGGCUGACUUUUAUGGGGUGCCUGUUUUGAUUGCCAUUAUUUGCUGCGGAUUUAGGAGUGUUAUGACUCUUAAUCGCCUUGUUUUUAAGUUCACUCAAUUGGAAGCAAUAGAUAUUGUAUUGCCCGUACCGGUAUCUCGGAUGAUAUGCUUAAUUUUUUUAUUCACGGUGAUAACGUCUAGCGUCACUGCUAUUACGAAACAGAAUAGAAAAUUGGCAAAGAUACUAAUCACGCUUACGGACGAAUGUACUAUGGAUGAGAAUAUUGAAAAAAAAUUGGAUUAUUUCUCAAGUGAUCUCUGGCCUUUGAAGCUCGAACUGACUGCAUGUGAUAUUCUGCCUCUAGAUCGUUCUCUCUUGGCCACAAUUACCGGCACGAUUGCAAUUUAUCUCGUUAUUGGCGUGCAAUUUUCUAUUGAUACACAUUCUCAUUAAUUACAUCUAACAAUAGAGUUUUCAUGAGUGUGCAAAUGCUCUUUUUUUCUGAUUCAACAACUGAAUACGAUCGAAUUAAACAGAAUUAAAUUUUUAAUUCUAUUUAAUUCAGAUAAAUUCUGUUAAUUCGGUACCUAACUUAAUAAUGAAUUCUGUUUAAUUCGGCAGGAAAACAAGAAUUUGUCCGAAUUAAAAAGAAUUUAAAUAAUUCUAUUCGGUCUAAUUCUGAUCAAUUCGAAAAUAAUUCUCCAAUUUCUGGUUCUGAAUCCGAAUUAAAACGAAUUUGAAAUUUUUAAAUCGGUUUUAUUCCUUUUAAUUCAAAUUCAAAUUUUCAAUUCAGUUGAAUUCUGUUCUGCAGAAUUUGACAGAAUUAAACUUUUAAUUCUAUUUAAUUUAGAUAAAUUCUGUUAGUUCGGUACCUAACUUAAUAAUGAAUUCUGUUUAAUUCGGCAGGAAAACAAGAAUUUGUCCGAAUUAAAAAGAAUUUAAAUAAUUCUAUUCGGUUUAAUUCUGAUUAAUUCGAAAACAAUUCUCCAAUUUCUGGUUCUGAAUCCGAAUUAAACUGAAUUAAAACGAAUUUAAAAUUUUUAAACCAGUUUUAUUCUGUUUAAUUCAAAUUCAAAUUUUCAAUUCAGUUGAAUUCUGUUUUGCAGAAUUUGACAGAAUUAAACUUUUAAUUCUAUUUAAUUUAGAUAAAUUCUGUUAAUUCGGUACCUAACUUAAUAAUUAAUUCUGUUUAAUUCGGCAGGAAAACAAGAAUUUGUCCGAAUUAAAAAGAAUUUAAAUAAUUCUAUUCGGUCUAAUUCUGAUCAAUUCGAAAAUAAUUCUCCAAUUUUUGGUUCUGAAUCCGAAUUAAAACGAAUAUGAAAUUUUUAAAUCGGUUUUAUUCCUUUUAAUUCAAAUUCAAAUUUUCAAUUCAGUUGAAUUCUGUUCUGCAGAAUUUGACAGAAUUCAACUUUUAAUUUAGAUAAAUUCUGUUAAUUCGGUACCUAACUUAAAAAUGAAUUCUGUUUAAUUCGGCAGGAAAACAAGAAUUUGUCCGAAUUAAAACGAAUUUAAAUAAUUCUAUUCGGUUUAAUUCUAAUUAAUUUGAAAAUAAUUCUCCAAUUUUUGCUUCUGAAUCCGAAUUAAACUGAAUUAAAACGAAUUUGAAAUUCUUAAAUCGGUUUUAUUCUGUUUAAUUCAAAUUCAAAUUUUCAAUUCAGUUGAAUUCUGUUUAGCAGAAUUCGACAGAAUUAAACAAAAUUAAAUUUUUAAUUCUAUUUAAUUCAGAUAAAUUCUGUUAAUUCGGAAGGAAAGCCAGAAUUUGUCCAAAUUAAAACGAAUUCAAAUAAUUCUAUGCGGUUUAAUUCUGAUCAAUUCGAAAAUAAUUCUUCAAUUUCUGGUUCUGAAUCCGAAUUAAACUGAAUUAAAACGAAUUUGAAAUUUUUAAAUCGGUUUUAUUCCUUUUAACUCAAAUUCAAAUUUUCAAUUCAGUUGAAUUCUGUUCUGCAGAAUUCGACAGAAUAUAACAGAAUUAAAAUUUUUAAUUCGUUCGAAUUCAGUUGCAUAAUCAGGAUUUAAAAUUCACUACUCACCAUUAAAGCAGACAAUUUUCGAUACUAAAUAUUCAUCCGACUAACUCUAGUAGCAUUUCUAAAGAAAUGUUCGAAAUUCGAAUCUUAAAAUAGUAAGCAAGUCCACAUGAUCAGUCUUGCAGAUGUCUAGAGCAAAAUGUCUCUAGUAAAUCUGUUGUAAAACUUGGCUAAGAAACUUAAGCAAAAUCUACACUAUGACCUUGAAAAUGGAUCCCAUUAUAAUUUCCAUAAAUAUAUUAAUGCAAAUGAAAUAAUAAUGCAUUUAUAAUCACGCUAUAAUGAAAGCUAUACAUCAAAUCGGAAAAAAUUAUCGUGGCGCUAAUUAGUCAGUAUUGCGAUACCGUCACGUAAACACGUCAGUUUUCGGAAUAUUUCAGAUAGAAGAAGUAUCGUAAAAAAAUGGAGCCGAUAUAUUUUAUCAAUCGGGAAACAAAAAAAAUUAAUAAUCAAGAAAAUUCGGUCUACUAUAGGUGUUUUAUGUUCAUCCAACACAUUUUAUUUAAAAUAACCGGAAUAUCGCCUUGGACUAUGGACACUUCUGUAAUAUUCCGUAAUAAUAAAGAUUUUGAGAACAAUAAUUUUCACUGUAGUUUUUCAUAUUCUGGGUCUUGUUACAAUAUUAUAUUAUCUGCAUUCAUCGUUUUCUUGACUUUUUAUGAUAUUUCAUAUAAUUCAUCAUCGCAAAUUAAUUCUGACAAAAUGUUAGAGUCGAUAACAGCAAAAGUUGAGUAUAGCUCAUUACUAUUCGCGAGUUUAAUACCAAUAAUUUACAUUAUUCGUCAAAAAUUAUUAAUUAAUGUUAAUAAUAUGUUUAAAAUUAUCGAUAAUAAAUUAAACAGUUGUGCGGAUUAUGAAACAGAAAAUAAUUACACAAAUUAUUUUGUAUUUAUUUUAAAUGUUAUUGUAACGAGUGGCAUAAUAACAUUACGAAUAAUGACAUUUGAAUCACUGACAGUGCUGUUUGUCAGAAAUUCCGCUUACUUUAUUAGCAGCUGGGUGACGAUACAGUACGUAUUGCUGCUAAAUAUGAUAUACAAACGAUUCAAAGGUAUCAAUUCGACACUCUCGAAAUUGGGUACCAAUAGGAGCGUAAUAUCACGUUCACAUGAAUCAGUUAUUGACGAUAUCAAUAAAAUUAAAUUUGCUUAUUUAAAAUUAUCUGACAUGUGCGAAGAUACGGAAACUUUUUACGGACUGUCUAUUUUGAUAUCAAUUUUUAUUUUAGCUGUCAAAAGUAUAUUUAUGUUGUAUCAAAUUAUUUUAAUAAGUCUUCAUGUUCAUGCAAUUGACGACAAUACGUAUUUGUUUAUUAUAUUUUUAUUACGCAAUGUAUCUCUAUAUAUGAUAUUGACUACCAAUGUCACGAAAAUAAUGAAGCAGAACAAAGAUACGUCAAAAAUAAUAAACUUGCUCAGAGAUCGAUAUUCAAUGGAUGAAAGAAUCGAAAAAAAAUUGACGAAAUUUUCGGUAAAUCUCUUGCAUCUGAGAGUCGAAUUCACCGCCUGUGAUAUUAUACCACUAGACAGAACUCUCUUAGCAAUCAUCACUGGAACAACUGCGACGUAUCUCAUUAUCGUUGUACAAUUUUAUAUAAAUGAUCUCAAUUAAUCAAUUGGAAAUUGAAUAACAUUUUUCCAUGUGUGCUUUACAAUCUAACAUUGUGUUUUUUGUCACUCUACAGCAAUGAAUUAUUUAAUAAUAAAUUAUAAAAAUUGUAACGCACCAGCAUAUCAAUAAAAAAAUUAUUCUAUUGAAAUAAAAUAUAAAUUAAUCAAUUGGCCUCAAGUUCAAAAGUAUACUCGACUAAUUAUUUGUCAUUAGCCAGA